Onychostoma macrolepis is the source of this 2537-nucleotide long non-coding RNA. RefSeq lists it as uncharacterized. The transcript has 4 exons. The record is from RefSeq and is a predicted model, not a curated record. NCBI's taxonomy places the organism in Eukaryota, Metazoa, Chordata, Actinopteri, Cypriniformes, Cyprinidae.
CUUCACCCUCGAUAUUUCAGCGACAUUUUGCCAACUAAAAAGAGCCGCUUAUUCUCGCGAUCAACUUGUAGGCUACAUGAGCGAAGUCUGGCCCUCACGCGAAACUCCAUAACGUUCGGAUUCUUACUGAAAUGGAUUUCGCCAACUUUCAAAGGCUUAUCUUAUCAAAUUAAAUGGUGAUGCCUCCUGCAAUAAGAGCACAGCAGAGAUGCUGGCAUGCAUCCAGCUCUCUCAGUGUGCCCAGACUGCCGCUGGGAUGAGCACAGUAACCUUCAAGGAAAUGUAUUCCGGUGUCAUUGGCCGGACUCUGUGCCUCUGUUUGCAGACAGAAUACAGAGGUGCCCAUUCUCGGCAUCAUGGGAACUCCCACCAUCCCUUGCAUCUGUGCCUCCACCCACCACCAACCAAUUAUGUGCGAAAACAAAAAAACGGGGGGUAGAAAAGAGGCACUGCACCCUCUGAGGAAUGAGUCUCUUCAUUUCAAUAUCAGAGCCAGAGGAUGAGCAUGUUGGCACAUUCAGACCAGGAGGCCUGCAUUCAGUAUUCUGUCUUCAGUCACUCCACUGAAACAUUAUCUCAGUCAACCAGAUUGCUAAAUGUUGAUUUAAACUCUUGAUAUGCUGCCAUCAGCUUUAUGUUGAAAGUGUGACAUGAGCGACACGAUAAAAUUAAAUAUGUUAUUAUUUUAUUUUAUUAAUUUGGUGCCAUUUAUUAGUGAUAGCAUAUCUUUUUUAAAACAUAUCAUUAACAUUUUGGAAUCUUUACCAACAUCCUGUAUUACUUAAUUACUUUGCUUUUGGCAUCACCAACUGCUAAACAGAAGAGAGAUUUAUGAUAUUCUGACAACAUUUAAAUCAGAAAGGCAUGCAGCAAAAUUGGACUUGGAAGAGAACCACUUUCAUCCCUAAAGCAUUUAUCCAUCAAAUAUUCAUUUCUUGGCAUUCAUGUGAUAUUACCCUGAAUAACUAGACACAAAGCAAUAAAAACAAGUGGUGUAUCAGGGGAUUUGACAGACAACAAUUACAUCAAAUUGACUUUAAUUAAAAACUGAUGAAAAUGUCAUGUGAUGCCUACAACCUCUGGUUCAAAUAUGUAAGUGCAUGCUUGUGAUUUACCAGAGAUGUGAAAGUUAUCUGACCUAAAAAAGAAAUAGAAAAAUAAGUAUUUUAGAGUACUCAAAUUCUAAAUAUUCAAAUGCCAAAAGGGCCAAAAUAAUUUUUUUUUUACUUGCUCCAUUACUUACUAUUCUUAUUUAAUUAUUUUUAUUUUGCAAAAGCCAUAUACAUUUUUGCCAUAUAUACACACAUUUUCUAGAAUUUUUCCCAAUGUUUUGCGAAACAUUUACAUCUGUGCAUUUCAUUCUGUAAACAUCAUGCUUGUCAGUAAAUUUGAAUAUAUUUUAUUCAGAAACUGUGGCGCUAUGGAAAUGACGUGUGUCUGAAUGUCAUUGCUGUGAAACACCAUUGCCCGCAUCCCUCCCAUUUCCCCUGUCCCACCCCUCACAGGCCAGACACUGUUCUAUCUAUUUGCACACUGUCAGUCUCAAAAGCAAGUGGCCCUCUCUUCUCCUCCUGGGCAAGUCCCUCCUGAGAGGCGGCCAUUCCUGCCUGCUGGGAUACUGACAGUUAACCUUUCGCUCAGAGAUUUCUGGGAGCUCUGCCAGAUUUUCCCACCCUGAAUAGCUUUUUAAGAAAAGCUACAAACUUAACAGAUCGCACAUCCCGAGCAGUGUACUACCUCUGCUACAUUAGCUUACCUACAGAGAUAACGAGCCUGUUAGAAACCUCUGCUGGAGUGAACCAAGUUGAUGACCUCCCCAUCCUCUUUUAUUCUUAUGUGCAGUGUAUUGCUCUUCUUUAAAGUUUGAAAUACCCCCAACAAGGCAUUCCAUAAGUUUGAGCUCAUCAUAGUUGGCAUUAUUGGGAAAUUAGAAACUAUAGUUGCAUGAAACAAAAGGUAUUUCCCAUUUUAUAAUACUGAAAAAGUAACACACCAUACUUUCUCUGCUCCUGCUGUUCACCUCCUGCACACAGCAUCAGUACAAUGGCAUUAGUAUGCCAAUGGACACAUGAAUGGAUAUCCUGUCAUACACGACAUACAUCAUAAGACAUCUCUGAACUUUUGAUCCCCUCCAAGUUUUGAUAGAUCUAUUGUUGAACCCAUAGACUUAGGGAACAAUGGUGUUUGACGCAGGGAAUCUGGGGUACAGUACGGGUGUCUGUAGCCCAAUCUGGUAAUUAAGUGGGGUUAAAGCCAGGAGGGGCUCAGCGGGGGCGAUGCCUGGUAGGGGUGCUUGAGUCACUGCAGGGUAUAUAGGAGAUCACAGAGAGACAGAGACAGACACCCCACCAGGAGACCAGGCUGCCUUCUGACAUGCCAGGAGUGCAGAGGUGUCACCAUUCGUGUGUGCAGAUUUGAGAUUGUCUCUCUAAUUCAUGAGGCCAAAUGAAAAGAGUUCCACCACUAAUAUAACAUAGCAUAAUACAACAUAAUAUAAGGAGUGGGUAUAAAUAAAAAUAACUAAAUAAAUAAAUAUA